Pelobates cultripes (western spadefoot toad) is the source of this 581-nucleotide non-coding RNA. NCBI's taxonomy places the organism in Eukaryota, Metazoa, Chordata, Amphibia, Anura, Pelobatidae. The record is from the annotation of a GenBank genome assembly.
ACACUUCACACAGGGGAGGUCUGAUUGUUCGGUAGUUUCAUUCCCUUAGUUUAUUCGAAUGACUCUACCGAACAAUCAGACGGAUACACUUUAUUUAAACACAUACAAAACCAGCAGUUUACCUGAAUGCAGUUAUAUACAUGUAAUUUUCAGGACAGCCCAGUGCCAUCCGCUACAGGAUGUAGUGUGUGUAUAGAAGCUGUUUUGUGCAAACGGGCUGCAGAGUAUGUGUGUAGGGAUGUAGUGUGUGUAUAAUGGCUGCAGUGUAUGUGUGUAGGGAUGUAGUGUGUGUAUAAUGGCUGCAGUGUAGCCGUUAUUUUUAUUCUUAGGGGCUGUAGUGUAUAGGGGGCUGCAGAGUAUGUAUAGGGAAUGUAGUGUGUGUCUAUUUGUAGGGGGAUGUAGAGAGUGUGUGUGCCUAGAGACUGUAAUGUGAUUGUUGUAUAGGGAUUGUAGUGUGUAAUGGAAUAUGUAUUUGUGGGGUGGUUUAGGUGCUGAAAUCCCAUGAAUUUUUGCCAUUUCUUCCAUUCACAGAAUUCUGGGAGUUGAAGUUCAUCAAUAUCUGGGGUCCAAGGAUUGAGAUC